Molecule: long non-coding RNA, 735 nt
Filed under: Bemisia tabaci
Lineage: Eukaryota; Metazoa; Arthropoda; Insecta; Hemiptera; Aleyrodidae
Description: lncRNA ENSSSA1NGG000995
Source: RNAcentral
CGUACGGAGUACAGCCGUUUGAACAUUCCCUGGCGUUUCCUGCUUUUUCCUAAGGCCGCGGAGACCGGCAAUCUGCCAUAACACUGAUUCAAAAUGAAAUUGACAGGCAUUGCCAUGGCCAUCAGAGUAGCCUCCCUCAUCAGCGAGCACGAGGCGGCCGCCGCGGCGUGCGCGGGCGCGGGUGGCCGGCGGAAAGACGUGGCCACGGAGGAGGAGGGAGAGGAGGGGUCCUCAGGGGUGGACACCGCGGACAAGGACGCGCAUUCCCCGUUUUCGAAGUCGGGCAUGGACGCGCAUUUCCCGCAUUCGGGGCCCUCGGAAGAGGAUUCAAUCAUCUCUUCGCAUUCCGUGAAGCAUUACAGAGGAAGCGUGGGCUCCCCAUCUUAAAAAUGUCGUUGCACCACAGAUCACCCCGCCACACCUAAAGUAUAAUGUCAAAGACAAGUAUACUCCCGUUACAUUCUUUACGCCCAGCCUGCGCAUUGCAACACUGCAAAAAGACCUUCAAAGUAUGAUGCCCGAAUUCUAUCUGCAAAAAAUUCAGACCGUCCUACAGGAAAUGCAAGAUGGUGGCGUACAUAGGCGGCAGGUUAUACGUCAAAACUGGAAAAUGGGGAGUGGAAACGUUUAAAGAGGUGAGCUUAUUCAUAAACGUACAAUCUUCAUUACUGGCAUACAUUUGUUAAUCAUCCAGGGAGGUCUCAGACGACCCUUAAAACAUCCAAAAAGGGACAA